RNAcentral lists this long non-coding RNA (1222 nucleotides) under Solanum tuberosum (potato). RNAcentral's name for it is "long non-coding RNA (STUB_LNC008454)". Lineage: Eukaryota; Viridiplantae; Streptophyta; Magnoliopsida; Solanales; Solanaceae. The record is from RNAcentral.
AUUUUUCCUCAAGAUUUGAUAUCUUCUUUCUUUCUAUUGUUAGUAAUCCAUCCGUAUGUGUGUUACUUUUUCAUCAAUUCUAAUAAUUCCUUCGUAAAAUUUGACUACAUCCAGAUCCUGAGAGACUACUAAGAGUGACAACAAUGUAGAAAAUAGAGAGAACCAAGGUAGCUUAUCGAUCUAACCACUGGCAUGUAGCACAGUUUGCAACAGGGGAACUAUUUAUAUUGUUAAAAUCUUUAAAAUGAUGCAGUUGUCUUGCAAAGUUUUGAUCUUUUUACUCCCAAGUUAAUUGAAGAGAGAACGGGGUUUCAUUUCACACGUGUUUGUUCUCUUUUUCUUUUCCUACCUAAACUAUCACCAUCUAUAUAUCAUUUUUAAUAACUCUUUCGCAAGUUUAACAGUUGGUUGUCCUCUUCUUCUUUUCCUACCUGAACAAUCAUCUUCUAUGUAUUGUAAGAGAAACAGUAAUAUUUUUUUAUGUUCAACGCUGGACAUGUCAAUUAAUGUCUAAGACUCAGAGUCCUUAUAGACCAAUAAGAGCGAUAGCAAUGUAGAAAACAGAGAGUAGUUUAUUGAUCUGAUCGCAUAUACAAUACGGAAAAAGUACUCAAUAUUAUCGUCAACCAAAAUAACCACUUACUAAGAGCAAAACCUCGUGAACUCCAGACCAAACUUCUUUUCAUUACUACACGUACAGGGGGGCAUUUUUGGAAGGGGAAAAAUAAAAAAAAAUGUUUCCUUUAUUCUAGUUUAUAUGCAAUUUCGAGAGUUAAUAUGCUUUUCAAAUAUUUUCUUUAUUUCCAUUUCAUUUUUAUAUUCUUUCAUCUGUUCAGAGGUAAAAACAUCAGUCUUUUGGUUGAUCUAAUGACGAAAUAACUCAAAAUUAUAAGCAGAAAUAAGUUAAAUCUUUCAUUGAGUCAGAAAUAUUUUCAAAUUUAAACUCAAAUGUGAAAAACCCCUUGCAGCUAGGAUGGUUUCAAUAACAAAUUUUCCCCAAGUCAAAAUAACAUUAGGGUUAAACCGAAGGUAACAAUUUAAAGUAACAAAUACAACAUUGAACAGACGGCGGAAAGAUGCAUUAGAAGAAGAAAACUCAUCAAAUCAGAAACAGAAGCAAGCAUACCUUUUUGUUCGUUCGUAAAAGAGAACCUCUGAGGAGUUGAUUUGAAUCAGCACAUAGUGAAUGUGUUGUUUUCCAUGGAAAUAAAGGAGCUUUCAA